Molecule: non-coding RNA, 750 nt
Organism: Ictidomys tridecemlineatus (thirteen-lined ground squirrel)
Lineage: Eukaryota; Metazoa; Chordata; Mammalia; Rodentia; Sciuridae
Source: RefSeq, a predicted model, not a curated record
UAAUGGUUUGAACAUAAUCCAAUUAAAUAAAUAAUCUAAGAUUUCUAUAUUGACAUUUCUAGGGCCUUAUUUCUUAACCAAACACCAUACCAGUUAUGAACUAGUUAGGAAAACAACCAGUGUAAAUAUUUUAAGCUCAAAGAAACAUAGUACAGGAAACCAGAAGCUUUCGCACACGUUGGAAGGACUGAAACCUCACCUAUUGAACUCAGGAAGAAAGCAUAGGUCCAAAAGCUGAUGGUGACAGCAACUAUGACCCCAUUUACUACUGGCUCCAAUAGUCUAUCGAGGGAGAUUUAGCAACCUGUUCUCAAUACUCUGACUAUACAAAUUUGAGAUUCCUAGCCCUCAUAAAAGCCAUGUUGUUGCCAAAAGAUGCAAGAUAUGAAACUAAAAGUUAUAGCUACGAUCAAAGAAUUUGGCUUCCCUGUGCUGGGACCAACAGACUAGAGAGGAAUCAAGAUCUUGACAAAAGUAACUGAUUGAAAAACUCUAAUGGUGUGCAGAAAUAUGUAUGAAACCCAUCUGAUUCACUUGGAUGCUUCCUGGCAUAUUCUUUGAUCAACUGUCACUGUUGGAAACGUGCGGCCAAUCCAGACCCAGAAGGGCUUACUUCUUAGAAUGCUUUUAGGUACUGAGUUGAUUGCAAAGAUGAGGGUAAUUUAGAAAGGAGUGGAAGAAGGAGUAGAUGAAUACCACUUGUGGACUGAAAACCACCUGUAGCAAUAAAAGACACCAUAUCACCACUAA